Molecule: long non-coding RNA, 528 nt
Organism: Alosa alosa (allis shad)
Lineage: Eukaryota; Metazoa; Chordata; Actinopteri; Clupeiformes; Clupeidae
Exons: 3
Source: RefSeq, a predicted model, not a curated record
AAACAUACCAACUGGUGUCAACAUCAGCUAGGCUAUGUUGGCAUUUUCUGAUGGUUCUUCAUGACUGAUCAUAAGUUUCUUAUGGAUCCCCAGUUGCUGCCUCCUUCUGAAGCACAGGUUAUUAGAGAGGCUGAAAACCAGACUGGAACAGGCUCUUCAAAGGCAGCCUCUGGACCUGGACUAUUUAGAGUUCCUCUGUACCAGUGAGUUGAGCCUAGUUCACUGAGUACUCACAUGUCAUUUCCAGAAGAGGUAAGCAAAGUCUGUUUGUUUUUUGUGCAAAAUAAGUACAAACAUUACCCCUGUUUUCAGAAUACUUUCAGAAGGUGCCAUUGAGUCCUGCUGUCCUGCUAAAAUAAACUUCACUGACAGUUUUUACAUAUGUUUCCCCUCACAAACUAUUAGAUACCAGAAUACAGUUGUUUUGUACUGUAAAAAUAGUAUUAAGUGUUGAUUUAUAUAUAUUUAAAACAAAAGAGGAGACGGCAGAGCCUCAUGCUUAUAAUCAUUAAUUAAUUAUAAAAUAAA